CCUCGGUGAGAAAGCUGCGGUGGGACGUCGGAGGACGGCAGCGGUCCGGGUCCACAGAUCCCGGGUUAACCGGGAGGGGGAGGGGCUGGGGGGGGGCGGCGGGCGCGGCCCCGGAGCUGGAACUGGGCUGGAGUCCCGAAGAGUCUGAAGAGUUGGGGUCCCAAGCCUGGGCCUGAGGGGAUCCAGACCGGAUGCUGGGCUGGCCGUGCGUCCCCAGGGGCUGCAGGAGCUGUCCGCCUCUGGGUGCUGAUUGGGCCGAAGGAGACUUCUCCCUAAAACGUGCGGAUCGGUGCUGAAGGAGCUGUUCUCCCGGAGGGUGCUGAUCGGUGCUGGACAGAGACAUCUGACCAACGGAUGCUGACCCGGCUGGAUCCCAAGUUGGUCACACAGAGGAUGCUGAUUGGGGCUAAAACUGAACCUCCAGUACACAGCACAGACUACGCAGGCUGGACAGAGGAGCACUGAGAACAUUCCCCAUUUCUGAGCUUCAAGGAGUCUGGACACACUGAAAACUCCCCGACUUUCCCCACAAAAAUCCAGAUCACUCCCUAGAAUUCAUAGUUUUUACUCCCACUUUCCAGAUUUCCUUUCAUUCUUGUCUUGUUAUCAAACUGGUUAACUUAAUAAAUGGCUACAUAAAUGACUCAUCCAA
Ailuropoda melanoleuca (giant panda) is the source of this 652-nucleotide long non-coding RNA. RefSeq lists it as uncharacterized. The transcript is spliced from 2 exons. NCBI's taxonomy places the organism in Eukaryota, Metazoa, Chordata, Mammalia, Carnivora, Ursidae. The record is from RefSeq and is a predicted model, not a curated record.